ACUGUUCCCUAGGAUUGGCUUUGGGCUUUUCCUGCACAGCUUAGGUGGAAGGCGAUGAAGGCCUCCUUCUAGGGUGGCCCAAGCCAUCAGUGAGAUACCACUUUGGGAGAGUUAGAAUUCUAACCCUAUGUCAGGACCUACGGGCCAAGGGACAGUCUCAGGUAGACAGUGCCUAUGGGGCGUAGGCCUCCCAAAAGGUAACGAAGGCAUGCAAAGGUUUCCUCGGGCCGGACGAAGAUUGGCCCUAUCACGAGUAUCGAUACUCGGGGUAAUUUUAUUGAUACCUUUUCAAUUGUACCGAUAUUUUCUUGUGUUUUGAUUUUAGGCGAGAAACAAAAUGCUGAUUUGGUA
Molecule: non-coding RNA, 351 nt
Filed under: Gossypium hirsutum (cotton)
Lineage: Eukaryota; Viridiplantae; Streptophyta; Magnoliopsida; Malvales; Malvaceae
Description: Bacterial large subunit ribosomal RNA
Rfam family: Bacterial large subunit ribosomal RNA
Source: Rfam by way of RNAcentral